This 827-nucleotide ribosomal RNA is filed under the name Chondrina calpica calpica. RNAcentral's name for it is "partial large subunit ribosomal RNA". The stretch from base 303 to 551 matches the Rfam family "Archaeal large subunit ribosomal RNA", at positions 1786 to 2143 of the family's 2987-position model. Lineage: Eukaryota; Metazoa; Mollusca; Gastropoda; Stylommatophora; Chondrinidae. The record is from RNAcentral.
GUCAAAAAAGUUAUAUGGAUUUGGAUUAAAGUUAAAUAUGUAGCAUAAUAUAAUUUUAAUAACUUUUUAGAGGAGAUAUUCCAACAAUUUUUAUGAUAGCUGGAUUAAGGGGAAAAGUAUUAAGUACUUAAAACAAUUAUAAAGUGAUAAGAUUUUAUAAUUUAAAUAAGUUGUUUUUAGAUGGAGUAGGGUUAACCCCCUAAAAGUUGAUAAUACCUAUCAUAAUUUAAAAGUAUCUUUUUAUGUUUACCUUUAAACUAAAGCUAAUUAUAAACUUAAGUAUAUAUUGUUUAAAUUAGUAUUUUUAUAUAAAUUUUGUUAAGGAACUCGGCAAAUAUUUUAUUCGACUGUUUAACAAAAACAUAGUCCAUAGCUAUUUAUGAUGGAUGUAGCCUGCCCGGUGAUUUUAUUUAACGGCCGCAGUACCUUGACUGUGCGAAGGUAGCAUAAUAAUUUGGCCUUUAAAUGGGGUCUAGAAUGAAAGGAUUCACAAAUAGCAGCUGUCUUCACUUUAAUUAAAGAAAACUUAUUUAAAAGGUGCAAAUACCUUUAAUUUAAUAUAAUAGACGAGAAGACCCUUAGAAUUUUAUUUAAAAUAAAUGUUUUAUUUAUUUUGAUUUUGUUGGGGCAACAAAGCAGCAAAAUAUUUAAUCUGCUUUUUAUACUGGGGAUAUGCCGACUAUUAGUAUGAAUAUAUAAAUUACCUUAGGGAUAACAGCAUAAUUUAAUAAAGAUUGUGACCUCGAUGUUGGAUUAGGGCCAUAAUAAUUUAACCCAAUAAUAUGUUAGUUCUGUUCGAACUUUUUUACCUACAUGAUCUGAGUUCA